AGUGAACGCUGGCGGCAGGCCUAACACAUGCAAGUCGAACGGAAGCACCGUAAGAGCCUGCUUUUACGGGUGGCGCGUGGCGGACGGGUGAGGAAUACAUCGGACUCUCCUUUUUCGUGGGGGAUAACGUCGGGACACUUACGCUACUAAUGCAUACGACCUACGGGUGAAAGCAGGGGAUCUUCGGACCUUGCGCGACUGAAUUAGCCGAUGUCGGAUUAGCUAGUUUGCGGGGUAAAGUACCACCACGGCGACGCUCCGUAGCUGAUGUGAGAGGAUGAGCAGGCACACCGGAACUGAGACACGGUCCAGACUCCUACGGGAGGGAGCAGUGGGGAAUAUUAGACAAGGGGCGGAAGCCGGAUCCAGCCAUACCGCGUGGGUGGAGAAGGCCUUCGGGUUGUAGAGCCCUUUUGUUGGGAAAGAAAAGCAGCAUGUUAAUACCCCGCUGUUUUGACGGUACCCAAAGAAUAAGCACCGGCUAACUUCGUG
RNAcentral lists this ribosomal RNA (492 nucleotides) under uncultured bacterium. Its description in RNAcentral is "partial 16S ribosomal RNA". It matches the Rfam family "Bacterial small subunit ribosomal RNA", at positions 29 to 507 of the family's 1533-position model. The record is from RNAcentral.